UUGCUUCAGCAGCACAUAUGCUGAAAUCAGGAUGAGACAGAGGAUUCGUGUAGCCCUUGUGCAAGGAUGACACACAGAUCUGUAAAGUGGUUCAUAUUUUU
This 101-nucleotide small nuclear RNA is filed under the name Erinaceus europaeus (western European hedgehog). The record is from RNAcentral. Lineage: Eukaryota; Metazoa; Chordata; Mammalia; Eulipotyphla; Erinaceidae.